RNAcentral lists this long non-coding RNA (218 nucleotides) under Brachypodium distachyon (stiff brome). Its description in RNAcentral is "long non-coding RNA (BDIS_LNC000944)". The record is from RNAcentral. Lineage: Eukaryota; Viridiplantae; Streptophyta; Magnoliopsida; Poales; Poaceae.
CCACUUUUGGAAAACUAAAAGUUAUAAAAUAAAAGGUUUGGAAAACAAAAGGUUAUAAAAUUAAAAGUUUGGAAAAGCAGAAGUUAGAAAAUUAAAAGUAAGAAAAUCAAAAGUUUAUAAAAUUAAAAGUAAAAGGUAAAAAAAAGUUUGGAAAACAAAAGGUUAAGAUGUUAAGAAAAAUAAAAAUCUGCUUUCGUAUCGUAAAUUAACGUCCUAGC